AGGACCAACUCCGAGACACAGAGCUGAAAGUGCCCUCCAGUGCCUGGGAGGAAAUGAGGAAAUGUCCAGUCUCACACUCACUGCCAGUGUGAGAGUGAGAUCAGGAGAAAGAUUGGACUGAAGAUGUCUCUUACCGGUGAAGGUUAGGACGGCAGACACAACGCAGAGAAAGAAAUGAACUGAAACAUCUAUGCUUUGUUCUUUCCCCUGCUAAAUUCUCCAAACAGAUGUCAGGUUCUCCCCCUUUUGCUACAAGUUUCCUUGGAUAACCUUAAUUACCUGGAGGUGGUGGAACAUGGAAGAGCUGAAUCUUUCAUUGAUUCUCCAAGGCACGCUUUCUCAGGUUCUUACCACUCUGAGAUCUCCAUGCCCUGAACUCUGUCAGCCAGGCAGGUGUGUGCUAGCUGUCACUGACUUUGUGGGAAUGUCAGAGAGUGGGUGUCACAGAUUUGGAGGACAAUCCCGAAGACAACUGUGGAUGGAAUACUUUUAAAAGAAACAUGCUCCCCCCACCAACUUUCCCCAAAUCUCUUGAGGGCUUCUAGGACAACAGUGUCCGGAAAGACCCAGAUAUAAAGAUCCAGAGCCUAAGAGCAGGUCCACGGAGUCAGAUGCUGAAUGUGAAGUUUAGGGACCCCUUAACCCAUGUAUCUGUCUCUAUUUCCCUUUCUGUGCAGGCUGAAGAGAAACGAUUAAGCCUUUCAUGGGAGGUCCAAACAAGCUCUUUGAAUAUGUUUAAAAGAAAAAUUCUAAGAGAUGAGGAAGCCUCAUGAUGUGUAUAUGUCCACAUUUCUGCUUUCUUGUUCUUUCACUAAAUAACAGCUGGUCUCACACAGUUAGAGCUUGAGAGUCCAUGCAGUACAGUACGGCAGCCUUCCUGUCUGAUGUCUCCACAGCCAUCAAUAUGUUUCUCAUGUAUUUGUGGAAAAAUAUGCGAACCAUCUUGCCAUUAAACUAUUUUUGAAAUCUUGUGGAAGCCUGCCAGUAUUUUUCCAAGUCAGCUACAACACUCUUGCCUGUGAGAGAAGUUCCCCUACUGUAAGACUAUGUAUUUGGAUAUAGUUUUUGUUGAAAACUUUUUUGUUAAUCCUGGCCAUUGAUCUAGAGCAAAACUCAGUAAAUAAAAAAUGCAUAAAAUUCCAAUGCUUGCUAUAUAAAAUAUGUAAUCUGGGGAACAGAAAGUUAUUGGUGCCUAGCUGGUUUGGCUAUUUUGUUGUUGUUGAUGGUUUUUGUGGAACUGGGGAUUGAGUCUGGGGGUAUUAAGCUAUUUCCUUGGCCCUUUUUAUGAUUAUUAUUUUUUAAAACUUUGAGACAGGGCUUUGGUAAGUUUCCCAGGGUGGUUUUAAAUUUGCAAUCCUCCUGCCUCAGCCUCCUGAGUAU
Heterocephalus glaber (naked mole-rat) is the source of this 1380-nucleotide long non-coding RNA. RefSeq lists it as uncharacterized. NCBI's taxonomy places the organism in Eukaryota, Metazoa, Chordata, Mammalia, Rodentia, Bathyergidae. The record is from RefSeq and is a predicted model, not a curated record.